CAGCAGGAUCACAGUUACACAGGAGAGGUUGACCAUAUCAACAGUGGCCAGGUUAAGGAUGUAGGUCACAUAGGGGCUGCUCCAGACCUAACUGUCCCCUGAAACAAAGAAGAAUCUUUAAGAGAAGUCAGUCUCUCCACUUUAAUGCAUCUCCCAGACUGAGGUCCAGCCCAGCCCAACCCAUCCUAGAAGGCAGAAGAGGAAAGUCAGCUCAGACAACUGAAAAAGGACUAAUCUGCUUAUAGAUGGAGAGCUAACAGAAGUGGAGAGACAAAGACCUGUCCACGAGAAGUCUCAUGCCCCUUCCUUCACUCUGACACCUCCUUAACAUGCUCCUGAAAUGUCAGCAUCAUGAGACAUGAGCUACACAAUGAUGCAGUAUGGGAAUUAAGAGAAUCUGGAAUUGUGGAGCAGACUUCGCAAGGCUUCUCUGACCUCUGCCUCCCGCUCUGGGAUCUGUGAAACACACUGGGCUCUUCUUCUAGACCUCCCUUUUUGAAGCUCCUCCAAAGACCGUUUCAUCAUCUCUACUCAACAGUCUCCUCAGGAAAUUGCCUCUUCAGUAGGCAAAUGUCACUUGCCACAAACUUAUCUUUGGCAUGAGGAUAAGACAGUGCUAAGGUAGAACUGUCUGUACCUUCUUUGGGUUUACAUUGUGAUAACUGCAAGGAGAAAAAUAAAUUGGGCUGAGUGGAUAGAAAA
This 702-nucleotide long non-coding RNA is filed under the name Homo sapiens (human). RNAcentral describes it as "HSALNT0333544". Lineage: Eukaryota; Metazoa; Chordata; Mammalia; Primates; Hominidae. The record is from RNAcentral.